CCCUUAGAGUUUGAUCCUGGCUCAGAUUGAACGCUGGCGGCAUGCCUUACACAUGCAAGUCGAACGGCAGCACGGGAGCAAUCCUGGUGGCGAGUGGCGAACGGGUGAGUAAUACAUCGGAACGUGCCCAGUAGUGGGGGAUAACCCGGCGAAAGCCGGACUAAUACCGCGUACGACCUACGGGUGAAAGCAGGGGAUCGCAAGACCUUGCGCUAUUGGAGCGGCCGAUGGCAGAUUAGCUAGUUGGUGGGGUAAAGGCCUACCAAGGCGACGAUCUGUAGCUGGUCUGAGAGGACGACCAGCCACACUGGGACUGAGACACGGCCCAGACUCCUACGGGAGGCAGCAGUGGGGAAUUUUGGACAAUGGGCGCAAGCCUGAUCCAGCCAUGCCGCGUGCGGGAAGAAGGCCUUCGGGUUGUAAACCGCUUUUGUCAGGGAAGAAAAGCUCCGGGCUAAUACCUCGGAGUCAUGACGGUACCUGAAGAAUAAGCACCGGCUAACUACGUGCCAGCAGCCGCGGUAAUACGUAGGGUGCAAGCGUUAAUCGGAAUUACUGGGCGUAAAGCGUGCGCAGGCGGCUUUGCAAGACAGAUGUGAAAUCCCCGGGCUUAACCUGGGAACUGCAUUUGUGACUGCAUGGCUGGAGUGCGGCAGAGGGGGGAUGGAAUUCCGCGUGUAGCAGUGAAAUGCGUAGAUAUGCGGAGGAACACCGAUGGCGA
Molecule: ribosomal RNA, 721 nt
Filed under: uncultured bacterium
Lineage: Bacteria
Description: bacterial SSU rRNA
Rfam family: Bacterial small subunit ribosomal RNA
Source: RNAcentral